Molecule: ribosomal RNA, 815 nt
Filed under: uncultured archaeon
Lineage: Archaea
Description: bacterial SSU rRNA
Rfam family: Archaeal small subunit ribosomal RNA
Source: RNAcentral
UGAUUAAGCCAUGCAAGUCAUAUGUUCUUCGUGAACAUGGCGUACUGCUCAGUAACACGUGGAUAACCUGCCCUUGGGUCUGGGAUAACCCCGGGAAACUGGGGAUAAUACCGGAUAACGCAUAUAUGCUGGAAUGCUUUAUGCGUAAAAUGGAUAUGUCUGCCCAAGGAUGGGUCUGCGGCCUAUCAGGUAGUAGUGGGUGUAAUGUACCUACUAGCCUACAACGGGUACGGGUUGUGAGAGCAAGAGCCCGGAGAUGGAUUCUGAGACAUGAAUCCAGGCCCUACGGGGCGCAGCAGGCGCGAAAACUUUACAAUGCGGGAAACCGUGAUAAGGGGACACCGAGUGCCAGCAUCAUAUGCUGGCUGUCCAGAUGUGUAAAAUACAUCUGUUAGCAAGGGCCGGGCAAGACCGGUGCCAGCCGCCGCGGUAACACCGGCGGCCCGAGUGGUGAUCGUGAUUAUUGGGUCUAAAGGGUCCGUAGCCGGUUUGGUCAGUCCUCCGGGAAAUCUGAUGGCUCAACCAUUAGGCUUUCGGGGGAUACUGCCAGGCUUGGAACCGGGAGAGGUAAGAGGUACUACAGGGGUAGGAGUGAAAUCUUGUAAUCCCUGUGAGACCACCUGUGGCGAAGGCGUCUUACCAGAACGGGUUCGACGGUGAGGGACGAAAGCUGGGGGCACGAACCGGAUUAGAUACCCGGGUAGUCCCAGCCGUAAACGAUGCUCGCUAGGUGUCAGGCAUGGCGCGACCGUGUCUGGUGCCGCAGGGGAAGCCGUGAAGCGAGCCACCUGGGGAAGUACGGGCCGCAAGGCUGA